AAUGAACGCUGGCGGCAGGCCUAACACAUGCAAGUCGAACGGAUCCUUCGGGAUUAGUGGCGGACGGGUGAGUAACGCGUGGGAACAUACCCUUUGGUACGGAAUAGCCUCGGGAAACUGGGAGUAAUACCGUAUGUGGUCGAGAGACGAAAGAUUUAUCGCCAAAGGAUUGGCCCGCGUUGGAUUAGGUAGUUGGUGGGGUAAUGGCCUACCAAGCCGACGAUCCAUAGCUGGUCUGAGAGGAUGGUCAGCCACACUGGGACUGAGACACGGCCAAGGCGCCUUCGGGAGGCGGCAGUGAGGAAUCUUAGACAAUGGGGGAAACCCUGAUCUAGCCAUGCCGCGUGAUCGAUGAAGGCCUUAGGGUUGUAAAGAUCUUUCAGGUGGGAAGAUAAUGACUGUACCACCAGAAAAAGCCCCGGCUAACUCCGUGCCAGCCGCCGCGGUAA
RNAcentral lists this ribosomal RNA (449 nucleotides) under uncultured bacterium. RNAcentral's name for it is "partial 16S ribosomal RNA". It matches the Rfam family "Bacterial small subunit ribosomal RNA", at positions 29 to 523 of the family's 1533-position model. The record is from RNAcentral.